RNAcentral lists this ribosomal RNA (368 nucleotides) under uncultured Methanomicrobiales archaeon. RNAcentral describes it as "bacterial SSU rRNA". It matches the Rfam family "Archaeal small subunit ribosomal RNA", at positions 971 to 1338 of the family's 1478-position model. The record is from RNAcentral. Lineage: Archaea; Methanobacteriati; Methanobacteriota; Methanomicrobia; Methanomicrobiales.
CUUGACUAGCUGAGAGGAGGUGCAUGGCCGUCGUCAGUUCGUACUGUGAAGCAUCCUGUUAAGUCAGGCAACGAGCGAGACCCACGCCAACAGUUGCCAGCUCGUCCUCCGGGAUGGUGGGGACACUGUUGGGACCGCCUCUGCUAAAGAGGAGGAAGGAAUGGGCAACGGUAGGUCAGCAUGCCCCGAAUUAUCUGGGCUACACGCGGGCUACAAUGGGUGGGACAAUGGGUAUCGACACCGAAAGGUGAAGGCAAUCUCCUAAACCCAUCCGUAGUUCGGAUUGUGGGCUGCAACUCGCCCACAUGAAGCUGGAAUCUGUAGUAAUCGUGUCUCAAAAUGGCACGGUGAAUAUGUCCCUGCUCCUU